GUUCCAAAUAAUGACCAAACUGAAGUAUGAAAACUGAAGGUUCUCUCAACUGAAGGCUCCUCCCACAAUUGCUGUUUUAAAUGUAAGCCAGUCUUGUCAAAAAGCAAAUACACCACCUGGAGAUCACAUUUCAGAAGGACCCAGGAGGACUGCCUACUGAAUUUCUGGCUGUACUGCUCACUGGGCACUUUCUGCGACCUGAAGCUUCUGGUGCUGAUAACAAUUGUUAUCUCCCAGGCCAGGCCACGCGCCGCUUUUCUGAACACGGCGAUAGCUGGGCCCUAAAACAACAUCAGAGGGCUAAAACUCCAAAGCAGCAAACUACAGUGAAAUACAGAGCCAGCAGUUUUCUUAACUAGCAACAAGGAGGAAGAUAAUAAGCACUACACUCAGCAAUGGAAUCAGCGUGAGGCAACUCCAGAACAAAUGCUGAAAUUGCAUUUUUUCAGCCUCUAAAAGCACCUUUUAUGUAACUUUACAAUUACUUAAGAUAGGCAUGGCCUGUGAAGAAUAGCACAGACUUGAACUUAAACAUUCUGGCAUUCUAAAUCAGCUAAACAAAAGACACAGCUGCAGAAGCUUUGAUCUCCUGUACUUAUUUGCAACCCACCUUGAGACAGCUGCUCUUACUACUGCCAAACAGCUUUUUACAUCAUCUUGAAAAGUGCAGUCCUCCAGGAAAAUCAUCUCCCUAUUAAUGUCUUCAGAGGCCUCACAUGAGUGAAGAUAUACAGAACAACAGACUAGUUAGUCUGGUCUAGAGAGAACCAGGCCUAAUGACUGUAUUACUUCUCCAACCUAAGCAGACUUGGGUUAAUUAAAGAUCCUUCCUCUGAAUCUCAUCUUAGCACUCCAAAGCAGAACUCAUGGUAACUCAGAAGAUGUCUGUGCAAUGGCUGAGAAAUGCAAGCUGGUCUGUGCUAGUGAAAACCACUGGACUUGGAAAGCACAGACAUGUGAAUACUGCAUUGGAAAGAACAGAGACUUCCAUGACAAGGAUGUUCAGAAAUAGAUGAUGAUUCUGAAGUAAAAACUAUAAAGCAUUUUCAACAGAAAAAUUUCCUUUCCCUCAAAAUAUUCAAUUCUUCAAGAUCAUUUCAAACAAACCCUUCCUGCAUUUCAGCUUAAUGGCAAAAUCUGAUCUUGAGGACUGCUCACCACUUCCUCCUCUAAGUACCACUUAAUGCAGAAUUGGCCUUAAUAACAACAGAAAUCUCACUGAGAAAUGCAGAACUUUGUUCUGCAUCAAGGCAGAUGCAGAACAAAGUCUCCAGAUCCAAAAUAAGUGUUCUAUAAGAAUACUGCCUUUAUGGGAGACAUCAUCGCUGACAUCUUCAGUCUCAUCCUGCUGCUGCCCUACCCCCUUGCUAGCAGGGACAAGGUGUUACAUCACAAAGACCCACUUGCAGCACAUCAAGAACAAGCUCUGGAACCAAGUCCUUUUUGCAACUGAUACUGGCACCUAUUUAUCAGUCUGCCUUGCUAUUCUGCAAAACAAGCUACCAUUUCUCCAGAACCACAUUACAAAAUGUACAGAAUUAGUCAUCUAACCAGUGCUGUGCUAUUUGAUGGGAUGCAUAGCUGCAGUUUUCAUUUCCCUGUUCCCCUGCCCUUCUUUGCUGUUACACUCUGAGAUACACAUGAGCCAACAACUGGCUGAUAAGAGAUAAGCAGAACUAAAAGCAAAUUAUGUAAAAGCCAAAUAAAUGAUUGCAACUCCA
Molecule: long non-coding RNA, 1721 nt
Organism: Agelaius phoeniceus (red-winged blackbird)
Lineage: Eukaryota; Metazoa; Chordata; Aves; Passeriformes; Icteridae
Source: RefSeq, a predicted model, not a curated record